This 80-nucleotide transfer RNA is filed under the name Streptomyces netropsis. RNAcentral describes it as "tRNA-Ala". The record is from RNAcentral. Lineage: Bacteria; Bacillati; Actinomycetota; Actinomycetes; Kitasatosporales; Streptomycetaceae.
GUCACCGUCUGGCCGGGUGGCGACGGCACGGCCGGUGGCGGCGGCCACUACGGCUCGUACGGCUCGGACGCGGGGGUCCC